UUGAACGCUGGCGGCAUGCCUUACACAUGCAAGUCGAACGGUAGAGGGGCAACCCUUGAGAGUGGCGAACGGGUGAGUAAUAUAUCGGAACGUGCCCAGUCGUGGGGGAUAACGCAGCGAAAGCUGCGCUAAUACCGCAUACGAUCUAUGGAUGAAAGCGGGGGAUCGCAAGACCUCGCGCGAUUGGAGCGGCCGAUAUCAGAUUAGGUAGUUGGUGGGGUAAAAGCCCACCAA
RNAcentral lists this ribosomal RNA (234 nucleotides) under uncultured bacterium. Its description in RNAcentral is "partial 16S ribosomal RNA". It matches the Rfam family "Bacterial small subunit ribosomal RNA", at positions 30 to 271 of the family's 1533-position model. The record is from RNAcentral.